RNAcentral lists this ribosomal RNA (427 nucleotides) under uncultured bacterium. Its description in RNAcentral is "partial 16S ribosomal RNA". It matches the Rfam family "Bacterial small subunit ribosomal RNA", at positions 355 to 774 of the family's 1533-position model. The record is from RNAcentral.
UGGGGAAUAUUGCACAAUGGGCGCAAGCCUGAUGCAGCCAUGCCGCGUGUAUGAAGAAGGCCUUCGGGUUGUAAAGUACUUUCAGCGAGGAGGAAGGCAUUAAGGUUAAUAACCUUGGUGAUUGACGUUACUCGCAGAAGAAGCACCGGCUAACUCCGUGCCAGCAGCCGCGGUAAUACGGAGGGUGCAAGCGUUAAUAGGAAUUACUGGGCGUAAAGCGCACGCAGGCGGUCUGUCAAGUCGGAUGUGAAAUCCCCGGGCUCAACCUGGGAACUGCAUUCGAAACUGGCAGGCUAGAGUCUUGUAGAGGGGGGUAGAAUUCCAGGUGUAGCGGUGAAAUGCGUAGAGAUCUGGAGGAAUACCGGUGGCGAAGGCGGCCCCCUGGACAAAGACUGACGCUCAGGUGCGAAAGCGUGGGGAGCAAACA